UCACUGGUGGACUAGUGGUUAGGCCACUUCACUCUCACCACUGUAGCACGGGUUCGAUUCCUGGCUAGGGAA
Molecule: non-coding RNA, 72 nt
Organism: Pangasius djambal
Lineage: Eukaryota; Metazoa; Chordata; Actinopteri; Siluriformes; Pangasiidae
Source: the annotation of a GenBank genome assembly